RNAcentral lists this transfer RNA (73 nucleotides) under Camelus bactrianus (Bactrian camel). It matches the Rfam family "tRNA". From Rfam's summary of the family: Transfer RNA (tRNA) molecules are approximately 80 nucleotides in length. Their secondary structure includes four short double-helical elements and three loops (D, anti-codon, and T loops). Lineage: Eukaryota; Metazoa; Chordata; Mammalia; Artiodactyla; Camelidae. The record is from Rfam by way of RNAcentral. RNAcentral also lists the same sequence under 1 other name.
GUAGGUAUAGCUCAAGUGGUAGAGCACAUGCUUAGCAUGCACAAGGUCCUGGGUUCAAUCCCCAGUACCUCCU